UUGGGAUGAAGGACAAGACGAAUCGCCAUCUUCGACUCAGAAACUUCUUCUUGAGAAUUCAUCCACUGCAAACUUAAUUGUCAUGACACUACCAAUACCCACAAAAGAGGUUUUGACAGCAACAUUAUACAUGGCUUGGCUGGAGACACUUAGCAAAGACAUGCCUCCAUUUCUACUAGUAAGAGGCAAUCAACAGUCAGUGCUCACCUUCUACUCCUAGGUUCAUCCUCUCACUGCUGUCUUCUGGAAGGUCUCCAUUCAAACGCAUAUAAUGUAAAAGUUGUGGAUAACAUUCUUUAUAUCUAAUUUUAAUAACAAAUAAUCAGGCACCAAAAAUUGAUUUUCAAAAACAUAAACAGUAUCUAAUAAAGAGCAUACAUAAUUCAUAUAAAGUUUUAAUGAAUUAAAGUGUAAAAUUAUGGUUCAGGAUUUACAAAUGUGGACUUCUGUAUUGAUUGUAACUAAUCAACUUGUUUCAAUAUGAGGUGAGUUUGUGAUAUUAUUAUGUUUUAAUGUUAACAUAAAAAGCUUGAAGUACAAAGUUUGCUUGCAAACAGGGUAUUAUAUUUUUAUCAUGUAUACUGAUAUUAAAAUAAUGAAAGUGAACUAAGGUAAAAGGAUCGACUGUAAAUCUUCUUGUAAAAGAGUCUGAAGGAUGAGAGUAAUAUUAGAAAUGGGAGCAAAAGUUAGAUAAUUAUUUUUAUAGGAAUAUUUUGAAUAAAUAAUUAUUAUUGGA
Homalodisca vitripennis (glassy-winged sharpshooter) is the source of this 736-nucleotide long non-coding RNA. RefSeq lists it as uncharacterized. The record is from RefSeq and is a predicted model, not a curated record. NCBI's taxonomy places the organism in Eukaryota, Metazoa, Arthropoda, Insecta, Hemiptera, Cicadellidae. The transcript has 2 exons.